AUAAUAAUAGAGAGGACCCACCUGUACCCAUGCCGAACACAGCAGUUAAGCUCUCUGAUGCAGACGAUAGUCAGCCGGCGACGGCUCGCGAAAAUAUGUCAUUGCCGGAU
Molecule: ribosomal RNA, 110 nt
Filed under: Clostridia bacterium
Lineage: Bacteria; Bacillati; Bacillota; Clostridia
Source: RNAcentral